This 357-nucleotide long non-coding RNA is filed under the name Ananas comosus (pineapple). RNAcentral's name for it is "long non-coding RNA (ACOM_LNC040436)". The record is from RNAcentral. Lineage: Eukaryota; Viridiplantae; Streptophyta; Magnoliopsida; Poales; Bromeliaceae.
GGGAGGGACCGGUCCCAUCAGGCUGGGCUGCGGGGGUCUCUGAUGAGACCGGUCCCUGGUAGUGAGGGACCGGUUCCCGAACGUUGGCCCAGCGAGAUUAGCCGAAAUUUGGCUAAGUCCCGAGAAUUUAGCUCUCGGGGACCGAUCUCUCGGUCACGGACCGGUCUCCCGGGGACCGGUCUCUCAGGCAAGGACCGGUUCCCGAACGCGAAAUUCUUCUGCCCGAGAUGGAGAGCUCUCGGGGACCGGUCUCCCCGACCUGGGACCGGUCCCUCGCUGCGAAAACAGCCCAGUGAGGGCUGUGUAUUAGAUGGAAAGUUGAGGGGCCUAUUUGUAAAAUGGCCUUUAUUAGAGGUG